Molecule: long non-coding RNA, 1473 nt
Filed under: Lotus japonicus
Lineage: Eukaryota; Viridiplantae; Streptophyta; Magnoliopsida; Fabales; Fabaceae
Description: long non-coding RNA (LJAP_LNC001294)
Source: RNAcentral
UCAAUGUCAAAAGAUUGGUUCCUUUUUAAGCAGUUUUCAUUUGCAUUUGCAUUGGUUCCUUUUAUAAUUUAAUGUGUAACUUUAAAGCUUAGAAAUCUAUGUAUUGUGUGUAAUUUUUAUUAUAUAUACCUUGAACCAGUGCCUCAAAUGGUUCAAUGAUAGUAUGAUUAUGAAAACAUUGUUUUUUUUCCCAGAGUGGAAAUGAAGAAAAUGAUAGCUUUGGGGUUUGAGGGUUCAGCUAACAAGAUUGGUGUUGGGGUUGUGACAUUGGAUGGCACCAUUCUUUCAAACCCACGCCACACCUACAUCACUCCUCCUGGUCAAGGCUUUCUUCCCAGGGAAACAGCACAGCACCAUCUCCAACACAUUCUUCCCCUUGUCAAAUCUGCUCUGCAAACAGCACAGGUCACUCCACAGGAUAUUGACUGCAUCUGUUACACCAAGGGUCCUGGCAUGGGAGCUCCAUUACAAGUGUCUGCUAUUGUUAUUCGUGUGCUUUCACUGCUUUGGAAGAAGCCCAUUGUUGCUGUCAAUCAUUGUGUAGCACAUAUUGAGAUGGGAAGGGUUGUCACCGGUGCUGUUGAUCCUGUUGUUCUGUAUGUCAGUGGUGGCAACACUCAAGUCAUUGCUUACAGUGAAGGGCGUUACCGAAUCUUUGGGGAAACCAUUGAUAUUGCUGUGGGGAAUUGCUUGGAUCGCUUUGCAAGGGUGUUGACUCUUUCUAAUGAUCCUAGUCCUGGAUAUAACAUUGAGCAGGUGCUUCACUAACUAUCUAUUUUACGUAGUUUAUGGUGCUUGUAUGGAAUAUGGAACAUUUUUGUUGUACUUUUCCCUUAGCUGGGUUACAAUAUGAGAGGUUGCUUGUAUGGUCUUACAUUGGAAGUUAAAAUUGAAUGAGUUUGUCCUCUUCAUUUUUGUUUCUGAUAUCAAACCUGGUGCUUCUAGUUUUCUGUUAUUUAUAUGCAACUUAAGCAGUAAUGAAUUGUAUUUGCCUAUAUGACUCGCGUUGUAUUGUGCUAUCUUCAAUGUCAAAAGAUUGGUUCCUUUUUAAGCAGUUUUCAUUUGCAUUUGCAUUGGUUCCUUUUAUAAUUUAAUGUGUAACUUUAAAGCUUAGAAAUCUAUGUAUUGUGUGUAAUUUUUAUUAUAUAUACCUUGAACCAGUGCCUCAAAUGGUUCAAUGAUAGUAUGAUUAUGAAAACAUUGUUUUUUUUCCCAGAGUGGAAAUGAAGAAAAUGAUAGCUUUGGGGUUUGAGGGUUCAGCUAACAAGAUUGGUGUUGGGGUUGUGACAUUGGAUGGCACCAUUCUUUCAAACCCACGCCACACCUACAUCACUCCUCCUGGUCAAGGCUUUCUUCCCAGGGAAACAGCACAGCACCAUCUCCAACACAUUCUUCCCCUUGUCAAAUCUGCUCUGCAAACAGCACAGGUCACUCCACAGGAUAUUGACUGCAUCUGUUACACCAAGGGUCCUG